UUGAAAAUGAACCGUCGCCUUCCAACGGUUUCACUCGCCCCUCUACUCUUUAAUAUCUAUACCGAUUAGAGAAAAAGACGAGUUGGAGAGAGAGAGAUGGAGCUACAGAUGCAGAAAGAGAGAAUAUGAGGGAUCCGAUCGGUGGUUCCGACGACCGGUCUACAGCGUCACAGCCACCACCAUGACAACAUCAGCGACAUACAGAGUAGUCUUUCGUUACCACGCUUGGUUUCAAACCCUAAUUUUUCUUUUCAUCAUAUGAUCUGUUUAUUUUGGGUUUCUUUUACGCCGACAGAGUUGGUAUAGGGCUCCAAUGGAGUUCCAGUCGACAACCCUAAGUGUUUGUUUGAUAGAUGAAUUAAAACAUGAUGGUAUAAUCUCUUGUGAAUAUAUCCAUAUCUACAACGUCAACGAGUGAAUUAAUGGAGGAAGUAAGAGAUCUCUGCAAUUUCUUACCAAAGCUACUGGAAAAGCAAUACCUUUAGCUGCUGGAUUUGUCAUACAGGUGGCGGCAAGAGAGGCUGGUGGUCUUGUAGUCGAUAUGAUCCGCCAGAAAAAGAUGGCUAGAAUGGCACUUACUACAUGCUGGACCUCCGGGUACGGGUAAAACUGCCCUUGCCCUUGGUAUCUCUCUAGAACUUGGUACUAAGGUAUCAUUUUGUCCCAUGGUUGGAUCAGUAGUCUACUCAUCGGAAGUAAAGAAAACCGAGGUUUUGAUGGAGAAUUUCAAAGGGUGGCAGAGCUUGUCACUGGUGUCUUAUUUACCGACGAGGUACAUAUGCUGGAUAUGGAGUGUUUUUUGUACCUAAACCGUGCUUUAGAAAGCUCAUUAUCCCCAAAUGUAAUCUUUGCCACCAAUAGAGGGAUAUGUACCGUGAGGAACUAACAGUAUCCCCAAUCGGUCUUCUGAUGCCGGCGGAUACUCCAUGGAACCAUAGAAUUCCGGGGCUGAAUUGAAGAGGCUUGAUUCUUUAGCAAAAAACUCGCCAUUUGGAGGUAUUUGGAUCUGAUACUGAUCUCAGGUUUCCAUGCCGCAAAUGACAACAGAGUUGCUGAAGUUUGGGAUGGAAUACAAAAUCCUCAAAUUACUCAUUUUCCUCCAGGGCAACCACAGCUACAACUAGAGUUGAAUGGUAAAGUUAGCAUAUAUUCUUCAUUGAUCCUGCUUCAUCAUAAUUGUGAGUAAUUUCUAUAAAUCAACAUUUUUUGUCUUGGUGUUUUCUUCGUGAUGCUAAAAUAUCAUCACUUGCGUAUUGCAUCCUUGUGUUUUCUUUCAUUUGGUUUCAAUGAUUGCAACCAUUUUGUAAACAAAAAAAAUCGGUGCUGUUGGUUCAGAGAAAUAAUAAGUAAUAGCUCUUUAAGUCUGAUGCUUUUGGUGAUGUUUUAUUUUUUAUACAAUUUUUUUGGU
Molecule: long non-coding RNA, 1408 nt
Filed under: Helianthus annuus (common sunflower)
Lineage: Eukaryota; Viridiplantae; Streptophyta; Magnoliopsida; Asterales; Asteraceae
Description: hypothetical non coding rna
Source: RNAcentral